GUGGGGAAUUUUGGACAAUGGGCGCAAGCCUGAUCCAGCAAUGCCGCGUGCAGGAUGAAGGCCUUCGGGUUGUAAACUGCUUUUGUACGGAACGAAAAGGCUCUGGCUAAUACCUGGGGCUCAUGACGGUACCGUAAGAAUAAGCACCGGCUAACUACGUGCCAGCAGCCGCGGUAAUACGUAGGGUGCGAGCGUUAAUCGGAAUUACUGGGCGUAAAGCGUGCGCAGGCGGUGAUGUAAGACAGUUGUGAAAUCCCCGGGCUCAACCUGGGAACUGCAUCUGUGACUGCAUCGCUGGAGUGCGGCAGAGGGGGAUGGAAUUCCGCGUGUAGCAGUGAAAUGCGUAGAUAUGCGGAGGAACACCGAUGGCGAAGGCAAUCCCCUGGGCCUGCACUGACGCUCAUGCACGAAAGCGUGGGGAGCAA
Molecule: ribosomal RNA, 425 nt
Filed under: uncultured Xenophilus sp.
Lineage: Bacteria; Pseudomonadati; Pseudomonadota; Betaproteobacteria; Burkholderiales; Comamonadaceae
Description: bacterial SSU rRNA
Rfam family: Bacterial small subunit ribosomal RNA
Source: RNAcentral